CUCGGCACCAUGCUGUGAGAAGGCCCAGGCCUCAGCCCAGCUCCAACAGCCAGCCAGCGAACACGUCAUGGAAGAACAUAGAUCCAAAAGGCCCCAGGUGAGCCGCCCCAGCUGAUGCCGUGUGAGACACAGGUAAAUACCUAGGAUUGGAAUGGUUGGAUUCUAAGGGCGGUUGAAUGUGAAAGGGUCCUACAAAUGUGGUCAUGCGGUGUUUUAAACUGUCUAUAACCAACUGCUACGACGUCUGCACAAACCCAGCCCGGAGGUCCCUGAGUGCCAAAGCUGCCCUUCAGGACUCGCGUCCGCUACCUGCAAAGCCCGGAGCGGAUCCUACCCCUGCGGCUGCUGCGACAGAGCUGCUGCCUCACCUGAGGCUUCCACGAACAGCAGCAUCAGAGACAGCAGACAACUAGCACCACUGAAUUACGAGGUGACGUCACCGCAGUCCUCUCCACUCCAGAAGGAAAUGCUGUCAGGGCACAACCAGUCUUCCCACGUGAAAACGGUGCCUUCUCCAAUCCACGCUUGGCGGCCGAAAUUAAUUCUCCUUUAGAGUAAGGUUAAAAAGCGAGCACUGCAUCUGCAUUACGGAGCUGAACUACGCACAUCAAGUUACCUAUUACCUGCCAAGGAUUACCUUAAAAGAUUCCAAUGUGGUCUUUAGAAGCUACAGGCUUAGAGGGGAGCCUGGUACGCGGAAGCACGCCGCCAGUUCUGGCUUUUCUGCCGUUCCUUCCCCAGGCUCCACCAGACCCCCGCACCGCCCACCUUCCUCAGCACCGCUCUGCGAAGCAGUUAAAAGAAAUGAGAGAGACUUUCGAGUUC
Long non-coding RNA from Dama dama (fallow deer), 825 nucleotides. RefSeq lists it as uncharacterized. The record is from RefSeq and is a predicted model, not a curated record. Lineage: Eukaryota; Metazoa; Chordata; Mammalia; Artiodactyla; Cervidae. The transcript has 4 exons.